This 479-nucleotide ribosomal RNA is filed under the name uncultured bacterium. RNAcentral describes it as "SSU rRNA". It matches the Rfam family "Bacterial small subunit ribosomal RNA", at positions 26 to 518 of the family's 1533-position model. The record is from RNAcentral.
AGGACGAACGCUGGCGGCGUGCCUAACACAUGCAAGUCGAACGGGACCAGGGGCAACUCUGGUUCAGUGGCGGACGGGUGCGUAGCACGUGAGGAACAUGACUUUCGGCGGGGGAUAGCCGGCCCAACGGCCGGGUAAUACCGCGUACGACCUUUUGGGGACAUCCCUGAUUGGUGAAAGCAGCAAUGCGCCGAAAGAGUGCCUCGCGGCCUAUCAGCUAGUUGGUGGGGUAAUGGCUCACCAAGGCGACGACGGGUAGCUGGUCUGAGAGGACGACCAGCCACACUGGAACUGAGAUACGGUCCAGACUCCUACGGGAGGCAGCAGUGGGGAAUAUUGCACAAUGGGCGAAAGCCUGAUGCAGCGACGCCGCGUGAGGGAUGAAGGCCUUCGGGUUGUAAACCUCUUUCGGCAGGGACGAAGCGAUCAGUGACGGUACCUGCAGAAGAACGCCCGGCCAACUACGUGCCAGCAGCCGC